UACGGAGGGUGCAAGCAUUGAUCGGAAUUACUGGGCGUAAAGGGCGCGUAGGCGGCAAAAUAAGUCAGAUGUGAAAUUCCACAGCUCAACUGUGGAGCUGCAUUUGAAACUGUUUAGCUAGAGCAUAAUUAGGGAAAACGGAAUUCCACAUGUAGCGGUGAAAUGCGUAGAUAUGUGGAGGAACACCGGUGGUGAAGACGGUUUUCUGGGUUAUUGCUGACGCUGAGGCGCGAAAGCUAGGGGAGCAAACAGG
Molecule: ribosomal RNA, 253 nt
Filed under: uncultured bacterium
Lineage: Bacteria
Description: partial 16S ribosomal RNA
Rfam family: Bacterial small subunit ribosomal RNA
Source: RNAcentral